GUCAUCUGCGUAGAUUGGGACCACAGAAUCGUAUAUCCCUGAGCUUCUGCCGUCAAGGUGGCGGACUGGCUUACCCUUCUGCUAAAACAGCUCUCUAGCCCAAAAGUUCCUGCCUGUUUUAUCUUCAUGGAAUUGUUGGUGCUGGUCCAGUCCAGCCCCAAGAUAAACCUCUGAGGUUUAAUGCCAGUUGGGAGAGCAGGACAGCGGCAAAUUCCAAGGGAAGCCCAGGGUUAUCACAAGCCCUGUGGCCGCAUUAUGUCACAUUGCCAACUUCAACAGAGCUUGACCUCAGGCUGAACUCCGCUUUGCCAGGCUGCAGAGAACGAAGCCGAGCAGCUCUAUCAAGCAUCGACCUUCCCAGCCAAGCAGGAGCCACCUAAACAAACCUAUCGCCUGUUCCCAAGAGAACUUCCUGAUUGUUUAUAAAUAAGCUCUGAGGAAGCCAACAGCCAUGUUGCUUCCCCACAUGGCAAGAAACUGCAGCUCGCCAAUGGAGCGGAGGGCAAUUUCUGGCCAGCAGCCACCAGGAAACAGAAUUCCUCAGUAUUACAGUCACAAAGAACUGAAAUCUGCCAACAAAUGAAUGAUUUUGGAAGCAUAUACCUCCCCAGAUGAGAACCUAUUCCUGGCCAACAGCUUGAUUACAGAGGCCAGCUAAACCAUGCCCAGGCUCCCGAUCCACCGGCAUUGAAAGAUAAUAUGUGUGUGUGUUGUGUUCUAAGUUGCUAAGUUUGUGGUAAUGUUACAUUGCAUAAGAUGACUGAUACAGCUUUUGGUAAUGGCAGCAGAGUGUCAAUUUAACAAAUGUCUAAAAAUGGGGGAGUGGCUUUGGAGUGGCAGUGGCUGGAGGAAUUUGGAAGGGCACGGCCGGGAAAGCUUAAAUCGUUCUGGACAGACUGUUAAUAGAAAUCUGGACAUUAAGGAUGUGCCAGUGAGGACUGAAAAGGAAGUGAGGGACAUGUUAGAAACUGGAAGAAGGAGGACCCUGGUUAGAUAGUGACAGAGAGCUUAGCACAGCCGUCUUCUGAAAUUCUGUGGAAAGUGGAACUUGUAAGUGAUGAACUCAGUUAUCUAAGGAUACUUCCAGGCAAAGUGUUGAAGAUGCUACUUGGUUUCUUCUUGCUACUUAGAAUAAAGUGUGUGAAAAGAGA
Molecule: long non-coding RNA, 1151 nt
Organism: Felis catus (domestic cat)
Lineage: Eukaryota; Metazoa; Chordata; Mammalia; Carnivora; Felidae
Exons: 2
Source: RefSeq, a predicted model, not a curated record